AUUGAACGCUGGCGGCAGGCCUAACACAUGCAAGUCGAGCGGAUGAAGGGAGCUUGCUCCUGGAUUCAGCGGCGGACGGGUGAGUAAUGCCUAGGAAUCUGCCUGGUAGUGGGGGAUAACGUCCGGAAACGGGCGCUAAUACCGCAUACGUCCUGAGGGAGAAAGUGGGGGAUCUUCGGACCUCACGCUAUCAGAUGAGCCUAGGUCGGAUUAGCUAGUUGGUGGGGUAAAGGCCUACCAAGGCGACGAUCCGCAACUGGUCUGAGAGGAUGAUCAGUCACACUGGAACUGAGACACGGUCCAGACUCCUACGGGAGGCAGCAGUGGGGAAUAUUGGACGAUGGGCGAAAGCCUGAUCCAGCCAUGCCGCGUGUGUGAAGAAGGUCUUCGGAUUGUAAAGCACUUUAAGUUGGGAGGAAGGGCAGUAAGUUAAUACCUUGCUGUUUUGACGUUACCAACAGAAUAAGCACCGGCUAACUUCGUG
RNAcentral lists this ribosomal RNA (484 nucleotides) under uncultured bacterium. RNAcentral's name for it is "partial 16S ribosomal RNA". It matches the Rfam family "Bacterial small subunit ribosomal RNA", at positions 30 to 507 of the family's 1533-position model. The record is from RNAcentral.